UACGUAGGAUCCAAGCGUUAUCCGGAAUUACUGGGUGUAAAGAGUUGCGUAGGUGGCAGAGUAAGUAGGUAGUGAAAGCGUUCGGCUCAACCGAAUAAACAUUAUCUAAACUGCUCAGCUAGAGGAUGAGAGAGGUUAUUGGAAUUCCCAGUGUAGGAGUGAAAUCCGUAGAUAUUGGGAAGAACACCGAUGGCGUAGGCAGAUAACUGGCUCAUUCCUGACACUAAGGCACGAAAGCGUGGGGAGCAAACGGG
Molecule: ribosomal RNA, 254 nt
Filed under: uncultured bacterium
Lineage: Bacteria
Description: partial 16S ribosomal RNA
Rfam family: Bacterial small subunit ribosomal RNA
Source: RNAcentral